CCAGACUCCUACGGGAGGCAGCAGUGGGGAAUAUUGCACAAUGGGGGAAACCCUGAUGCAGCAACGCCGCGUGAGUGAAGAAGUAUUUCGGUAUGUAAAGCUCUAUCAGCAGGGAAGAAGAUGACGGUACCUGAGUAAGAAGCCCCGGCUAACUACGUGCCAGCAGCCGCGGUAAUACGUAGGGGGCAAGCGUUAUCCGGAUUUACUGGGUGUAAAGGGAGCGUAGACGGUGAGACAAGUCUGAAGUGAAAGCCCGGGGCUCAACCCCGGGACUGCCCUUGGAACUGUGCGGCUAGAGUGCGGGAGGGGCAGGCGGAAUUCCUGGUGUAGCGGUGAAAUGCGUAGAUAUCAGGAGGAACACCGGUGGCGAAGGCGGCCUGCUGGACUGCAACUGACGUUGAGGCCCGAAAGCGUGGGGAGCAAACAGGAUUAGAUACCCCGGUAG
This 445-nucleotide ribosomal RNA is filed under the name uncultured bacterium. Its description in RNAcentral is "bacterial SSU rRNA". It matches the Rfam family "Bacterial small subunit ribosomal RNA", at positions 331 to 793 of the family's 1533-position model. The record is from RNAcentral.